UGGAUUAAGCUCUCAGUCACAUCUGCCUGAACUGCAGCUAUUUCAAACUGAAGGGGAAAGUGUAUCACUGUAAUCAAGCUGAGAAGUCUAUCAACCAUGGCUCCUCAUUUUCACCUCAGCAAAGAAUCCCUUCUAGUGUCAAAACUCACAUUUCUGAAACUAUGGACUGAUUGUAUCUAUUCUCUAUUACUCACACCAGAGCAGAAAGCACACAUUAGGGCAAAAUGAAACUUUACAAAUAUAAUGAGAUUGUUUCAUAUAUUCACAUCUUUCAAUUCAGAGAAACCAUACUGAAGAAAAACCUUACAAAUGUAAUGGGUGUAGCAAAGCCUUUAGUUUGUGUUCAAGCCUUCUAGUCACCACAGAAUUCAUACUUAAGAGAAACCUUACAAAUGCAAUGAGUGUAGCAAACCCUUUAUCAAGAGUUCAACCCUUAGUUGACAUCAGAAAGACCAUUCUAAAGGGAAAUCAUAUAACUAUAACAUAUGUGGGAGAGGCUUUUUCCAGGCCUCAGAACUCACCAGGCAUCAAAAUAUACGUCUUUGAUGAAACCACAUAAAUGUAAUGUACAUGCUAAAGCUUUGACCCAGGGACCGAAACUAUGGAUCACGAGAGGAUUUAUACUGGAGAGGAACCUCACAAAUGUAAUGAACGUAUAAGAUUUUGGGUCAAACAUUCAUGAUUUUGGUGUCAUGAGAGGAUUUAUAUUGGAGAGAAAUAAGACAAAUACAGUAUAGGCAGAAAAAUCUUUAAUCAAAGGUAUCUUCUCAGGAUUUACAAAAAAAAUCACACUGGAAAGAACACUUACAAAUGUAAUGAUAUGAUAAAUGUUAAAAGCAAUUCU
This 844-nucleotide long non-coding RNA is filed under the name Homo sapiens (human). RNAcentral describes it as "non-protein coding lnc-C1orf146-1:1". Lineage: Eukaryota; Metazoa; Chordata; Mammalia; Primates; Hominidae. The record is from RNAcentral.